This 217-nucleotide unclassified non-coding RNA is filed under the name uncultured Acidimicrobiia bacterium. RNAcentral describes it as "contains 16S-23S intergenic spacer region". Lineage: Bacteria; Bacillati; Actinomycetota; Acidimicrobiia. The record is from RNAcentral.
UCCGAGUUGACCCCGGCAGUCUCCUACGAGUCCCCGGCAUUACCCGCUGGCAACAUAGGACAAGGGUUGCGCUCGUUGCGGGACUUAACCCAACAUCUCACGACACGAGCUGACGACAGCCAUGCACCACCUAUCGCAGGCCCUUACGGACACCGCAUCUCUACGGCUUUUCCUGCGUAGUUCAACCCAGGUAAGGUGGGGAUGACGUUCGUCUGAC